AAAAAAAAAAAAAAUAAUAAUAAAUCAAGACAAAUCUAAUAUUUUAAUAUUUCCGUUGCGUCUAAUAAUAAUUGCCUAAUAUUUUAGUGUACAGGUAUAAUAUUAUAUUAAAUUGAAACGUUGAAUUCAAUAGUCAGUUAAAAGAAAUGGCUCGAGUAAAAGACUACUGAUUUACUAGGAGAGACAAAAAAAAAACCUUCAAUAUCAAAAUAAAUGUUUAAAGAUUUUAGGACUGUCUUAUGAUUUAUGUCCUUUUGCCUUUCGUAUUGAUAGUAUGCAAUAGUAUAUAAAAAACAAUUAUUCAAAUGUAAGAUUAUAAACGAGUAUAUUUUACCAAACGCACUUCAUAAAUUAAUAUAAACCGAAAACGAUCAACACUACAAUAAAUUAUCAUUUACAAGCCUUUU
Non-coding RNA from Cinara cedri, 407 nucleotides. Lineage: Eukaryota; Metazoa; Arthropoda; Insecta; Hemiptera; Aphididae. The record is from the annotation of a GenBank genome assembly.